AGGACUUGCCGCCCAGUUGUUGUCGUGGUGACUGGGCGGGAUUAUUUCGACGAUCGAGUUUGUUUGCACCAUGUCGGUGUGAGUGCAGGAGCCGAGCAAUAACGACAGUAUCGACUGCGCCCAGAAAAUGUCUGGACGGUCUUUCAAGGACGCGGGUUCAAUUCCCGCCAUCUCCACUC
Molecule: transfer-messenger RNA, 179 nt
Filed under: Xanthomonas citri pv. citri
Lineage: Bacteria; Pseudomonadati; Pseudomonadota; Gammaproteobacteria; Lysobacterales; Lysobacteraceae
Description: partial transfer-messenger RNA
Rfam family: transfer-messenger RNA
About the family: Bacterial tmRNA, also known as 10Sa RNA or SsrA, is named for its dual tRNA and mRNA-like properties. Its role is to liberate the mRNA from a stalled ribosome.
Source: RNAcentral